UUCUAAAGGUUGCAGAGAACAAAGACAGAGGCUAAAUUCUGAUUCUGCAUUCCACAUAAAGAGGCCACUGGCUGAAAAUCCAGUUGGGAUGUAAUGAAUCCAUAGAUACAAUGAGGAUGUCAGUUUUAUCACCUUGACAGUGCCGCUCCUUGUGCAAGAAAUUCCUAGACCAUGAAAGACCAGGAGAGCAAAGAGCACAAGAUUUACUAAGCCCAGCCGUUCCACGUUACUCAUUGGGUCUGGAUAGAUGGUUCAGCAGUAAAUCACACCAAUUAUUCUUCCAAAGAACCUAGCUUCCAUUCUUAGUAUCAGUCUGGAACUCUAAUUCCAGAGGAUCCAAUGUCCCCUUUUGGCCUUACACUUGUACUGUACAGAUGGCAUAUACACAUACUCUCAUGUGCAUGCACAUAAAGAUAAAUAAAACAUGAUCUUUCAUAACAAGUGUCUUUUACAGAAUGUAUUUUUUAACGUUUUUCAC
RNAcentral lists this small RNA (478 nucleotides) under Rattus norvegicus (Norway rat). RNAcentral's name for it is "uncharacterized LOC108352794". Lineage: Eukaryota; Metazoa; Chordata; Mammalia; Rodentia; Muridae. The record is from RNAcentral.